RNAcentral lists this long non-coding RNA (2608 nucleotides) under Homo sapiens (human). RNAcentral describes it as "HSALNT0099569". The record is from RNAcentral. Lineage: Eukaryota; Metazoa; Chordata; Mammalia; Primates; Hominidae.
GAAAAGAAAGGGAGUUCUGACACACGCUACGUGAAUGAACCUGGAUGGCAUGUGCUCAGGGAAAUAAGCCAGUCACAGGUGGACAAAUAAUGUGUGGUUCCACUUAGGUGAGGUACCUAAAGUAGUCAAAGUCGUAGAAAGUAGAAUGGGUAUUGCCAGGGGCUGGGGAAGCAGAGAGUGGGGAGUUAGAGUUAGAUGGGUACAGAGUUUCAGUUCAGGAAGAUGAAAUCGUUCUGGAGGUGGAUGGUGGUGGUGGCUGCACAACAUUAUGGACGUACACUUAAAAGCGGUGAAAAUGGUAAACUUAAUUUUAUAGAUACUUUACCACAAUGUAAGAAAUAAAAAAUAUAAAAAUGAAAACACAUUGCUCACAGCCCCAAGAAUGACUGAGAUGGAUUUUCCACCAGCUCAGCAGGGGAAGGGCUGAGUUAGACUUGAUUUGAUUUGAAAGGAAGAGAGAAGAGCAGCCUUUCCUGUCUGAGUUUGCACGGUCAGGUUCACACCUGUUACAAACCCAAGGCCCCAGUAGCCAUGCUGGACGCUGCACCCUGAUAUGGUUUGGAUUCGGGUCCCCGCCCACAUCUCCUAUCAAAUUGUAAUCCUCGGUGUUGGGGGAGGGGCCCGAUGGGAGGCGAUUGGAUCACGCGGGCGAACUUCCCCUUUGCUGUUCUCGUGAUAGUGAGUUCUCACCAGAUCUGGUUGUUUAAAAGUGUGGGCUGGGCAUGGUGGCUCAUGUCUGUAAUCCCAGCACUUUGGGAGGCCGAGGCGGGCAGAUCACCUGAGGUCAGGAGUUCAAGACCAGCCUGGCCAACAUAGUGACACCCCGUCUCUACUAAAAUUACAAAAAUUAGCCAGGCGUGUUGGCACGCACCUGUAAUCCCAGCUACUCAGGAGGCUGAGGCACGAGAAUCCCUUGAAUCCAGAAGGCGGAGGUUGCAGUGAACCGAGAUCUCACCACUGUCCUCCAGCCUGGGCGACAGCCAGACUCUGUCUUGGGGGAAGAAAAAAAGCGUGUGGCACGUCCCCCUUCACUCUCUUCCUACUGCCCCAGCCUUGUGGGACGUGCUGGCUCCCCGUUCACCUUCCGCCACAAUUGGAAGUUUCCCGAGCCCUCCCCAGCCAUGCUUGCUGUACGGCCUACAGAACCAUGAGCCAAUUAAACCUCUUUCUUUAUAAAUUACCCAGUCUUGCGUAGUCCUUUACAGCAAGGCGAGAACGGACUCACACACCGUUUUCAGCACUCCCUUGCCCCAUGCCUGAGCCCCUCUCAUCCUUACUCCCCAGGGUUGGGGCUGGGUGGGAGGGAGGCAGGCAGGGAGAGAGGAUAUCUUUUUCAUUCAUUACAUUAGAAUAACUUCUUUUCCAUGCUGAAAGCUUAAUGAUUUGUUUUCUAGGUCACCUCAAAAUGUCCCCAAGCCAUCGCUGGAACUACCCGAUGAAGUCAUUCUUCCUUACAAAGUAGAUUCCGUUGCUAGGGCUGCCAUAACCAAAUGCCGCAGCCUGGGUGGCUUCAACAGAAUUUCAUUUCCCCACAGUCCUGGGAGCUGGAAGCCCAAGGUCCAGGCGCUAUCUUCCAAUUCAGCCAUUCGGAGGUCUUGGCGGUUGAAACUUCAAGACAGGAAUUUGGAGUGAGGACACAGUUCAUUCCAUACACAAAGACAGGAGCGGCUUCAUCCAGAACCCGGAAGGUCUGUCCCUCUACAGAAACCCAGAUCUAAUCGUGUCGCAUCCCACACCAGGAAUUUCCAAACUUUGAUGCCAUUACAGUCUGAGAGAGCAUGACUGACGCAAGUGAGCCGGGAGCACAGGCAGGAGCACAGAGCCCAGCUGCCUCCCGCACCCCCUCCACCCACCCCAUCUACAGCUCAUUGCAUUAGCAGCCGCCUCUCGCCCCUCUACCCACGCCAUCUAGAGCCCACUGCGUCAGCCCAGAGGAUAUGUCAUUUGGCAGCAAAGCCUCAUCACAGAUAGAACCAGCUCCUCAGGCACCCUCAUUCCUGGAGAGGCACUUGACGGGGCAGAGCCUGAAGCAGAGUUUCCAGGAAGACAAGAAGGCCAACUUCCCUAGGAACUGCAGAUGGAGGUCCCGCUCAUGUGUUUCUGCGAAUUAAGAUGGGAUCUCACUAUGUUGCCCAGGCUAGAGUGCAUUGGCUAUUCACAGACGAUCAUGAUGCAAUCAUAGUGCACCACAUCCUCAAACUCCUGGACUCAAGUGAUCCUCCCUCCACAGCCUCCCAAGUAGCUGAGACUGCAGGCACACGCCACUGCACCCAGCCCUGGACUAUUAACUUUUAUAUUUUUUAUAUCCAUAGAGUCAGGCAGCUUCUGAUGCAUAGUAACCAUGUAAUAAAUGUUGAAUGAAUAAAUGUGAAUGACCAUACCCAUACAUAGACAUAUGCAUUCAUAUAAAUCUCAGCUUCUCAUCUCAUUCUCCCAAGCAAUGCUAACAGCCUUGACAGCUUUUGACAAACUGAUUCACAACAAAGCCUUGAUUUUCCCAUCCAUGAAGUGGGGCUAAAAUAUGCCUAAAUCUACGGAUUGCCUUUAGAAUUCAGUCUCCUUCAAAAUUUCAAACUAAGGGUCUCACCCCCAUUAGCGCAUCACGAAG